AUUUAAUGCAAGCUAAGGUACAUUGCUGCCAUCCUUUCAAAUUUUGUUCUGGCUUUUUCCCCUCUCAAGUUUAUGCAGUUUGUUGAAAGAACUAGAAUUCAAAAUCCACUAGUGCUAGCAUCAUCGCUGAAUGAUUCUUUAAGGAAUUUCCCUAGAGCUGCUUUAGCAAUUUGUCCAACUGAGAAUUAUUACAAAUAUCAUCUUUAAAAAAUUAAACAAAUAAAAAAUUAAAAAGAUGUUUAAAAAAUUAAAAAGAUUCAGAUGACAUACCCAAGUCUAAGUAUUCAUUAUGUUUGCCUUUGCCUUUGUCUUCGGGCUCUGUCUCGGCAGUGUCUUCACCAAGGCACAGAGUUGGAAAAAGGUGAUCUUGGAGCAAAAAUCCCCCGUCUUUAAAGGUAAGGUACAUUGCUGCCACUCCUUGCAUGUAUCUAAUCUCUCUGUAAUUUUUGGUGAGGCAUGACAUCCAUCUAUGUAUGUUACAUUUUUUCUUCUUUUUCCCUUUCUUUGUUUCUUUCUUUUCUCUUGGAGUCAAUUUUUGCUGACUUAUUCUAGCUCACCACCCAAACCGAAGCCAGCCCAAACCCUCUUAUGCAAUAUUUUGACACCACCUUUUUAAACACAAACAUGGUAUGAAAAUAAAGGCAAGAAAUUGAACCCUCUGCUUCUUCUUCGAAUGUACUUUUAAAAUUGGUCUUUUAUUGUUUUGUUUUGUUUUUUUUCAAAGGACGUGUAGAUGUUAUGUUUAGAAGAUGGUUGUGUAUUGCCGCUUCUGACUUGAGGACCACCAUUGUAUUUGUAAUGCAUUUUAGUUAUAUUAUAUCGGUUACCAAUUUUUAGUACCUCUUGCUCUGUUUUGAUGUGUAUAUUUCUAGAAGUAAAAGGUUUUAUGCAAAUUUAAUGCAAAAGAUUCAAUCUCUUCUUGCAAACUUCAUUUUAAUUAUAAUAAAUGGAUAUUUAAAAGCAGUUUUCUUUUUGUAUACUUCUGCUAGAAAAUAUAUUUUUAAGCUAACUGAAGUUUUUUGGAUGGGUAAUUCUACUACUUUUGUAGAGUCAGUAUUUAUUUGAACUAAUACAUGAAGUUGCAAAAUUAUUUUUCUAAUUUGUUUUUUGGUGGAGUGAGAUGGUAUUGUGAAAAUUUCCUUUGUUUAUCUUUUAAUAUUAAAGAAGAAGAAUGUAAUAAUAUGCCAUUUUGCCAGAUAUAACAAUUAACUACCUUUUUUUCUUGGUUUUUUUAAAAUUAAGCACAUGGGAUAAGAUAGAAACAAAUGCAAAACAAACAAAAAGUUUGCUAGUUUCUGGAAAUUGCUUGCCAGUUGAAUGAAGUUAUUAUUAAAAAUAAAUAAAAUGAAUGCAUACGGCAUCAACCUUUGUUUCCUAAUGGAAUGUCAAGAUACUGUUAUGUUCAGUUCAUUCAUUCAACUUUAUUAGGUCUUCUAUGUUCAGUUCAAAUUGAUUGUGCUCUGUGUUUUUUCGCAGUUUUAGCACAAUCUUUUGUUAAUGAAUAAAUUGUAAUUUAUUACAUAGGUAACUCCUCGAAGAAGGUGAAAUACAUAUUAUGGCAUUUGUCAUCUAAUUGUUCUUCUGCCCCCUCUACCUCAUGCCUCUGCUUAAUUUUUUUUGGCGGAUCCCAAGUACAUGAUUGCCGUCGUCGUUUGAACUCUAUCCUGAUAUGAAACUAUUCAUUAUGCUAUAUAUGGUCAGUCCAAGUGAGGCCAUUGUAGUUUCUCAGCAUUGUCUUAGAUGUUUUCCCUCUGGUGUUAUUUGUAGAGUUAAGCAUGUAUAUGCACAUAUAUGCAUACAUAUGAUCAUUGUGGCUGAUCCAGCGUUUUAUUUUUCAUCAGAUCAUAAGAAGUAUAUUUGAGGUUUUGUGUUUUGAGUGUUGGUAUGUUAUAGAAUACAUUUGCUUGACUCUUCAUCAACUGGACCUUUGUUUGAACAGGGAGGUGGAUGGGCAAAUAAUCAGUGAUAAGAUGUGCAUCGGGAUGGCACCACUAUUUUUAGUGUAACAUCAUGGAAGUGCUCCCUUACUCCAGCUUUCAGCAACAACUUCUGUCUAUGAUGGAGAAUCCAACUGCCCUGAGCAUGGAAAUCAAGAGCAAGUGGCAGAUGGCAGAGUAGAUGACUUAUUGCCAAAUGUGGAAAGGCCUCAACUAGUAAGACAAGGUCAAGUUCAAGAGGCAGUUGAUGAAUUGCAUACCUCAGAAGGUUGUCAAAAUGGAGCUUCAUGUCUUGAUUGUCAAGCAGAGGAGGGCCAAAAGUUAUCCAGUGUUUUGCAUGAUUUUGAUGGUGAUGACAUAAAUGAACAGAAUUACAAGGAUGUCAAAAUGGAGCUUCAUGUCUUGAUUGUCAAGCGGAGGAGGGCCAAAAGUUAUCCAGUGUUUUGCAUGAUUUUGAUGGUGAUGACAUAAAUGAACAGAAUUACUGCACAGAACCUUGCCUAACCUCUGGCAAUGGUCAUCUGAUUGUAGAUAGCAGGGAAAGUGAGUUGCCAAACAACAUUUGGGAAGGAGAGUCGUAUCUUUGAGAGCCUACGUAGCUAGGAAGUGAUGAAUCUGUGGCACUGUGGAUCAAGGUAACUUUUAUUUCUUCCACUUUCAAAUCUUUGCUUUGUUAUCACAACCUAAACCUUUUCUUAUGCAAUUUCUCGUGCCUGUUGCAUAUCAAGUUGGCUAGCCUCAUUAUCUUUACCCAUAAGUUUACAGUUCUAGGAUGCCUCCAACUGGCUGCUUGUGCUUUUCCUCCUUUUCCCCCUUGAUGUUCAAACAUAACAUCAUUGCAGGUUUGAUGCUAGGUUUACCCAUAAGUUUACAUUACACUUUUAAAAUUUUAAAUUUUUUGUUAAUUAUUGCCUAAUGUUUGAUGCUAGGUUCUUCUUUGAAGCCAAUGUACCAGUGUCUUUUGUUAAUUAUGACGAUGGAAAACCCGCAAAAUACUGGCUGAGAAUAUUGCACAGCUAAACUCCGCCAUAGACGAUGUUUCUGCUCCGCUGCAUGCAGACGAUGCCCCAAACGGAGCUGCAGUGGCUUCAGAUGAAAUUGAAGCUUCCAUAUAAUAGAAUGCUUGCAGAGUUUUUGUAUAAUUUGGUAUGUGUUUAGCGGUGGAAAUAAUGUUUAGUGUAAGAUCAUUGACAAGAUAUGCAUCGAAUGAAACCACUAUUUUUAGUGUAAGAUCGUUGAAGUGCUCCCUUACUCCAGCGUUCAGCGACAAAUUCUGUCUAUGAUGGAGAAUCCAACUGCCCUGAGCAUGAAAAGCAAGAGCAAGUGGCAGAUGGCAGAGUAGACGACUUGAAGAGAGAGAUGAUGACAUUAACCUGGUUGUGUUUGUUUAAUUUAUUGUUUACUUGAAGAGAGAUAUUACACGAGUUUAAAGGUAUUGAAGUGUAUAGUCCUGAUCUCUUGGACCCCUGUAGUCCAAGAGAUUUAUGGUCACUCACAGUUGGAUGUAAAUUCAACGGUUGACUUGAAUCGGGUAAUAAUCAUUUAUGUCAUAUUGCAUUUAUAUAUAUAUCAUUUUGAAUCAUUGGAUUAAUAUCCAACGGUGGGUGACCACAAUCUCUUGGACUCCUGUGGUCCAAGAGAUCGGGACUGUUGAAGUGUAUCCCUUUUGGCAACGCUUAAAUAUGUACAGAUGUUUUGUCUCUCGGAUAUGCUAAAGUUAAUGCUGCUUGGAUUUGUAUGCUUUCUGGUUACCUAGUUUUAAAUUAUUGGAGUUGUACGAUUUUGAAC
Molecule: long non-coding RNA, 3725 nt
Filed under: Prunus dulcis (almond)
Lineage: Eukaryota; Viridiplantae; Streptophyta; Magnoliopsida; Rosales; Rosaceae
Description: sRNA ncRNA
Source: RNAcentral